RNAcentral lists this ribosomal RNA (251 nucleotides) under uncultured prokaryote. Its description in RNAcentral is "partial 16S rRNA". It matches the Rfam family "Bacterial small subunit ribosomal RNA", at positions 525 to 775 of the family's 1533-position model. The record is from RNAcentral.
ACGGAGGGUGCAAGCGUUGUUCGGAUUUAUUGGGCGUAAAGCGCGUGUAGGCGGUUUGUUAAGUCUGAUGUGAAAGCCCUGGGCUCAACCUAGGAAGUGCAUUGGAUACUGGCAGACUUGAAUACGGGAGAGGGUAGUGGAAUUCCUGGUGUAGGAGUGAAAUCCGUAGAUAUCAGGAGGAACACCAGUGGCGAAGGCUGCUGCCUGGACCGAUACUGACGCUGAGACGCGAAAGCGUGGGUAGCAAACAG